GCCUCGGCAUCCUCUCGUUUUGGGUUCCUGUGCUUGAUUGCAUGGGGCUUAUAGCGGGACUUUUACUUUGAGGAAAUUAGAGUGUUCACGGCAGGCUAUCGCCAGAAUACAUUAGCAUGGAAUAAUAUUAUAGGAUCGAGAUUCUAUUUUGUUGGUUUCUAGAAUUUUGAUAAUGAUUAAUAGGGACAAUUGGGGGCAUUCGUAUCAACACGUCAGAGGUGGAAUUCUUGGAUUGUGUUGCGACGAACUACUGCGAAAGCAUUUGCCAAGGAUGUUUUCAUUGAUCAAGAACGAAAGUAAGGGGAUCGAAGACGAUUAGAUACCGUCGUAGUCUUUACCAUAAACUAUGCCAACUAGAGAUGGGGCAUCGUUCACUUACGACUUGCUCCGCACCUUAUGAGAUAUCAAAGUCUUUGGGUUCCGGGGGGAGUAUGGUCGCAAGGCUGAAACNUAAAGGAAUUGACGGAAGGGCACCACCAGGAGU
RNAcentral lists this ribosomal RNA (484 nucleotides) under uncultured eukaryote. Its description in RNAcentral is "SSU rRNA". It matches the Rfam family "Eukaryotic small subunit ribosomal RNA", at positions 690 to 1177 of the family's 1831-position model. The record is from RNAcentral.